GAUUUAAAUUUAACCUUGUAUCUUUAAAUGAUGGUAAACAUUUAAAGUUACAAAGGUCUAAGUUAACUUAAGGAAAUAGUUAUACCACCCAGUCCUUCCUGUAAGCUGUUUACAAACCUAAAGCUUCUAUUAUAUGCUACACAGACUUUCCUCUAGAGACCUAGAGGAUAUGACAUUUAAAAUGUCUCAUUAAAAAGCUUUUUAUAACAGAGAGACAGGCCAACUGCUGGCCCCACCCCAUUUCCUUCAAGAAAACUGGUGGGCACUGAAGACACCCCACCCACAAAAGUGACAAUGCUGGCCAUUAAACAGCCCUGCCUUUCACCUCAACUGCUGCAAAGGACUCUCAGACCUUGGACAAGAGGACAGUGGAAUGGACUUUCUCCAUGUUGCUUGGGCCAAUGGCAGGAAAGCCUUCCUAGAGUUCCUGGUCCACAGGUCCCAUGCUAUCAGCAGAAGGCAGGUGUCCUUAAAGCCUUUUGCCUUCAACAGCUAUGGAGGACCUUGUGGGUGGCUGUCUAUGUGGCCAGCCAGCAAGUCUCUGUUAUUCUCUAAUCAUUAACUCAGGUCUACAGAGGCGCCAGAGAGUUCCACACAGCCUGCACUGCAAUGAAACAUGGAGCAAGUCCAGGACACGGCAGCACCCCAACUUUCUCAGGCCCCCCCAAAGAUGGUCAACGCCCCCCCCCCGUCAGCAGGAAGCAGUCUUGAGAGCUCGGCGUCCUUAUUCCCUAACCCACCACGCCUAGCUCCCCACCUUUCUAAUAAUAAGCACAGGUGGGCAUUAAAGGUUCAGGCAUUACGCUGGCCCGCCCCUGCUACCUGGCAGAAUGCACUCAGGCAGCACUCUGGCCAGCCCAGGGUUCCACUGGAGCUAGUCUGCACACAGGUGCAAAGGACCCCUUUAAAAGACAGACCCCGCCCACUUACGCUGUCUCCUCUCUUUGCUCUCUUCUCUUACCCUCUUCAUCUCUUCUCGUCUCCCCCUCCCCUCCCCCACCUGGAAUAAACUCUGUGACCAACGCA
Long non-coding RNA from Mesocricetus auratus (golden hamster), 1026 nucleotides. RefSeq lists it as uncharacterized. The record is from RefSeq and is a predicted model, not a curated record. The transcript is spliced from 2 exons. Lineage: Eukaryota; Metazoa; Chordata; Mammalia; Rodentia; Cricetidae.